ACUAGUUCUUACGUACAAGGUUCCUAACUAUCUGUCCUGAUGUAAACAAUUGAUUGACCAACAAUCUUGACGUUGUAGCUUCAUCUGCCCUUGCCCUUUGUGACAGAUAGCUAUAUUUGCGACAUACGACACGAAUAGAGACACUUGCAUCCAACAACGUUCCCAAAUUGGUUGGUAGCAGACGUUAUCCAAAGUAAUGUUAGCUAGCUAUAGCCACAUCUUGUAUUUUUCAGUGGUUGACGUGUAACGUUAGUAGCUAAUAAUAGCCCAUGUCAUAACAAGUCUGAUCUAAAGUUGCAGUGCUGUUGUAUUCAAGGAAAACGUCGUCCAUCUAAUGACAAUGGUGCACAUUCUUAGAAGCUAAGAAAAGCACAAACGCGACUGAUCUACAGUGACAGGUUCAGUAUGUUAAUGAAAGCAUCCGCUCUCUCCCCAGCCAUGGCUGGUCUCCCCCACAGAAGGUUGCGUCUGAGGACUGCUCUCAGGUGGCUGAGUCCCCUCAGCACUGCCUCACCUCCAGCCGUGGUCAGAACUUUACCCUCAGGCUUCAGCAGCGGCCUGUUCCAAACACCCAGGCCCGGGUCUUGUGGCGUCUGCUGUCGGGAGCUCCAUGCUGGGGGAGAGAGACCCACCCCGUCCCCCGCAGCUGCCCCAGAGAGGAGGCCUUUCUCCAGGGUAACUCCAGAGGACCUGGCCUUCUUCAGCAAGAUAAUACCAGGCAGGACCAUCACUGACCCAGAUAUACUGGAUGCCAGUUAAUGUGGACUGGCUCAAGUCCGUGAGAGGUUUCAGUGAGGUUCUGCUGAGGCCCCAGACUACAGAGGAAGUUUCUCAGAUCCUUGGGUAUUAUUCUCCAGCCUUCUAGUGUA
Molecule: long non-coding RNA, 869 nt
Organism: Salvelinus sp. IW2-2015
Lineage: Eukaryota; Metazoa; Chordata; Actinopteri; Salmoniformes; Salmonidae
Source: RefSeq, a predicted model, not a curated record